Molecule: ribosomal RNA, 435 nt
Filed under: Lacticaseibacillus casei
Lineage: Bacteria; Bacillati; Bacillota; Bacilli; Lactobacillales; Lactobacillaceae
Description: bacterial SSU rRNA
Rfam family: Bacterial small subunit ribosomal RNA
Source: RNAcentral
AUGACGGGGGCCCGCACAAGCGGUGGAGCAUGUGGUUUAAUUCGAAGCAACGCGAAGAACCUUACCAGGUCUUGACAUCUUUUGAUCACCUGAGAGAUCAGGUUUCCCCUUCGGGGGCAAAAUGACAGGUGGUGCAUGGUUGUCGUCAGCUCGUGUCGUGAGAUGUUGGGUUAAGUCCCGCAACGAGCGCAACCCUUAUGACUAGUUGCCAGCAUUUAGUUGGGCACUCUAGUAAGACUGCCGGUGAAAAACCGGAGGAAGGUGGGGAUGACGUCAAAUCAUCAUGCCCCUUAUGACCUGGGCUACACACGUGCUACAAUGGAUGGUACAACGAGUUGCGAGACCGCGAGGUCAAGCUAAUCUCUUAAAGCCAUUCUCAGUUCGGACUGUAGGCUGCAACUCGCCUACACGAAGUCGAAUCGCUAGAUUCCUAAC